UUCUAAUUGCUGACGUGGCGCGCUGGUAUUGACUAAUUGAUGGUCGUUCGGCCCGUACGAAUUUCCAAUUGAUGGUCGUUCAUUCCUACACGUUAAUUCUUUUGUUUGCUCAGACAUUUAGCAAUCCUUUUGUUUCUUUGUUUGUUGUUUGUCGGGACUUGAUAAUUUGACAGCCUUUUGGGGAUAAUUAAACCACUUCCUCUCUCCAUAACAGUUUUUUUUUAUGGGAUUUGACAGGGAGUUGGGCUCGAUGCAACAAAAGUCUCCUCUUUCCCUAUUUGUUCAUCGACCGUCACUCUCUAAACCUCUUAGAGCAACUUUUUCUCUUCUUCUUCAUCUUCCACCUGAGAACAACAAUGACCAAGAUGGUUUUCUUCAUCUUCCAAUUACUGGGAGUUUUGUUGGCUUGAAAAAAAUAAGAAACGGUUUUUUUCUCUUUCAUUUUUUCCAUCAUCGUCUCUCUUUACCUUAUCUUCCUCUUCAUCAAUUAUCCCCCCAUUUCUCUCAUCUUCUUCAUCUUUUUCUUUUCUUUUCGAUUUUAACUGAGAACAACUACAACAAGGAGGAUGGUUGGGAUUUUUUUUGGGUGCAAAAAAUUGGAAAUGUCUUUCAGCCUCCAGCAUCUCAAUGAGAGUAAGCAACUGGUAGUGGAAUCCUCUGGAAUGUAUAUGUUGGAAAAGCUUUCAGGUUAGAUUUUGAGAUCUAAAUAAGCCUUUACCGUCAAGAUUUUGCAUAAAUCCUAAGGGUAUAGAUGGAGAAUUAAGAGGCGAAUUUGACAGAAAAUUUGCAGGCUUGGAGUGAAUGGUUCCAAUAGAGCAAAACGAAAGCUUUCCAAAUAUCAUAUGCAAGGGUACAUAAUCUGGAAAUUUCCUCCACCAUCUUCAUGCGGUUUUCUAAGCCUUGUUUUUCCCUUUCGAAGGGCCAGAUUUUUUUUCUUCUGAUAGAGUUGUUGGACGAUAGGCUCAAGGCAGAAAAGUGGCUGAAACAGCGAGAAAGGGAAGUUCAAUAUUUUGUCCCGACUAUCUAUGCGAAUUUGUAGAAUACAGAUAUGCAGGGAGGAAAAAUGACCACCCGUGAAAGGCAACUGCUGUGGGAAAAAUGUGUUUUGUUGAUCUCCUGCUCAAAAAAAGCAAUCCAUAUGGGAAUCAGGAACUUCCCUGUCAAGUUAAUCAUUGAUCAAAAUUUUGAGUUACACUAGCAGUACCUAUUAUCUUUUGCUUGAAGAUGAUUAAUGCAAAAGAUAUUAAAGCCAAAUUUGUAAUCGAGGCAGCUAAUCAUCCUACUAAUCCAGAGGCAGAUGAGAUAUUAACAAAGAAGGGAGUUGUUAUACUCCCAGACAUAUAGGCAAAUUCCGGAGGUCUUACAGUCAAUUACUUCAAGUGGGUUCAGUUAUGUGAUAGAAGAAGAAUGAACAACAACUAUUGAUCUGAUUGAUAUUUGGAUAGCUGGAACUUGGAAGCUAAUGGAAGCUUAUGGAGUUUUGUCAUGAAUGCUUGAUACUUUGUUUUGUCCUUUCCAAUAUCUUUACCAGAAGUCAUUAGUUACUUCAACAGCCACUUGCUAUAGUAGAGAUAUCAAACUUUGUGAUGCUUUUUUUUUUUUUUUUGAAAUUUUGACCACUAAUACAUAGUUUCACUAUAAUUGGCUGAUUGAACGCGACGGAAGAUAAGAAAGACGAGAGGCAUUUCUAGAUAUGACAGUCAAUAUUUCUGGAUGAAUGUAUCUUAUAUCUUAAAUUGUAACUUUUCACAGGUAAUGAGAUGCAUCGUACAGUUGGUGAGCUUACCUCAAUUAUGUGUUAUUAUGCUCUUCAACUUUAUUAGUGUUAUUUCUUUUCUUAAUUGAAAUGUUGACAAAAUGCUUCAUUAUCUACCACAUACAGAAAAUGAUAAACAAAAAAAAAAAAAAA
This is a non-coding RNA of Coffea arabica (coffee), 1909 nucleotides long. NCBI's taxonomy places the organism in Eukaryota, Viridiplantae, Streptophyta, Magnoliopsida, Gentianales, Rubiaceae. The record is from RefSeq and is a predicted model, not a curated record.